Molecule: transfer RNA, 89 nt
Filed under: bacterium
Lineage: Bacteria
Description: tRNA-Leu
Source: RNAcentral
GUCGUGCCUGCGUAGUGAAACUGAGGAACGCGCCGGAAGCAGAAUCCGGUUCCCGCAAGGGAGUGAGGGUUCGCUUCCCUCCCACGGCA